This is a non-coding RNA of Ignavibacteria bacterium GWC2_36_12, 96 nucleotides long. Lineage: Bacteria; Pseudomonadati; Ignavibacteriota; Ignavibacteria. The record is from Rfam.
AAUCGGGAGCCGGGUAACAUGUAACUGCCCAACUCCGUCAGGUCCGGAAGGAAGCAGCGGUAAGCAAGAGCUUGUGUAAACGGUUUCCCGAUUUUU